AUGGAUAGGCAAGGCAUUUCAUCUCCGGUUUACGACAACAACGACGGCGUGAACAACCACAUCAACAAAGCGUCCAUCUUCGAUCUACAACGACAAAUGCAAGGCGCACAAUCAAGAUUGCGAGAGCGCAUCGAGAACAUCUCCAUCGACAUUCGUCACUUCGAAGCAAGGAAAAGGGACUACAUCGACAAGAAGCUUUCCGCACAUAAAGAGGAGCAAGAUGCAAGGAUGGAGGAGAUUAGAGCCUUGAUCAAGUCUUCUUCCCCUUCGUCAUCUUCAAGGCGGCGACAUUCAAGACACAAGUCUUCGGAGUGCGAAAGCGAUGCAAGUGCAAAUUGUCCUCGUCCACAUCUACAUGGCGACCACCAUCACGUUCGUGAUCAACAUCGCCAUGAAGCGCAAGUCACCUCCAAGCAUCAUGUGCACGACGACGAUGAACGACAUCUACUACGAGCUCAAGCACAACAACGACAUCAUCAUCAUGAAGAUGCUCCACAAGCGCAAGUGCACAAGUCCCAACAAGCCCUACUUCACGCCAAGUCCAAGCUUCAAGAGCACAAAAGAAGACCGCAAGACGACCACCACCAAGACGGCGCUACGGCUACAUCAACCACUUCGGCAUCUUUGCCAAGUGUUCUCAAGGCAUCUUCGCCUUUGGACGUACGGCAUCUUCGCCUACUUCGCACGAGUACGCCUACAACAACUUCUUCAAGUCCAAGGCGACCACCUACGAGCGAGGGCGACACUUCCAUCUUCGGAAGCCCCUCAAGGAAGAUGGCCGAGCAUGUGAAAUUCCCUUUGGUCAUGGACAUGAGCUACGAGGUGCCACAUCAUAUGGGCCUCCCACACCAAGACGGUGACAAGAAGGUCGAGAAAGGGCCAUCCCCUUCGACCAUGGCGACGAGCGCGAACCUCUUCAACAACAUGAAGACGGCGCCCACAUUGGACUCAUACUCCGAGUCAAGCUAUGUAACCGAGCAUGGAGACAUUUGCACCUACAUCUCUCCGCCACCCACAUAUGUCGAGAUGCCCCAUUUGUCAUGUGAGGAGAGCCACCACCACAUGAGUGACAUGAGUGACUCCAUCAUAUGUGAUAUUGAGAGCAUUCCCUAUGAGAGGAUGAGUGUGACCACCACUAGCCACACACAUGAGAGCAUGCCACACAUCCUAUGUGAGGUUGAGCGCCAUUUGAGUGACUCCACCAACAAUAUGAGUGAGAGCAUCUUUGAGGGAGUGAGUGAGCCACAACACUUAGAGAGUGAGGUAGUUGACACAACACGUGAGGCCACUAUGAUUUCUAACGACUUAACCUCUACUCCUAGUGUGUUUUCUUCUUUGGUGCUAGGUCUCUUGCAUGACGACAUUCCUACCAUCGACGAGUCCAUCCCUCCAAUGGGAAAAAUGAUGGCCAUGGUGGACGAUGAUGCACCCCCACAUGGUUCCAUCAAGAUGAAGAUGACAACGAGUGGAUCAUCAAGACCUCACCUACAACACAUGAGCGACGCACCAAAGGUAACAUAG
Molecule: ribosomal RNA, 1521 nt
Filed under: Triticum aestivum (bread wheat)
Lineage: Eukaryota; Viridiplantae; Streptophyta; Magnoliopsida; Poales; Poaceae
Description: partial small subunit ribosomal RNA
Source: RNAcentral